This 29-nucleotide small RNA is filed under the name Bombyx mori (domestic silkworm). RNAcentral's name for it is "piRNA piR-bmo-1646561". The record is from RNAcentral. Lineage: Eukaryota; Metazoa; Arthropoda; Insecta; Lepidoptera; Bombycidae.
CAACCACUUGAUCGAUCUGUAUUCGGUCC